AUGUGUGCGAGCAAACGUGAGCGUGGUAUGGGUUUUCGUGACAUGGAGGUUUUUAAUCAAGCUCUAUUGGCAAAGCAAGCGUGGAGAGUUAUGCUUAUCCCCUCUUCAUUGUGCGCACGAGUCCUCAAGGCUCGAUAUUUUGAGGAUGGGUCUAUUCUCAAUGCUACAUGUCCGAGUGGUGCCUCCUACACCUUCAAAAGCAUUUUGUUUGGC
Molecule: ribosomal RNA, 213 nt
Filed under: Triticum aestivum (bread wheat)
Lineage: Eukaryota; Viridiplantae; Streptophyta; Magnoliopsida; Poales; Poaceae
Description: partial small subunit ribosomal RNA
Source: RNAcentral